AUUGAACGCUGGCGGCAGGCCUAACACAUGCAAGUCGAACGGUAACAGGAAGCAGCUUGCUGCUUUGCUGACGAGUGGCGGACGGGUGAGUAAUGUCUGGGAAACUUCCUGAUGGAGGGGGAUAACUACUGGAAACGGUAGCUAAUACCGCAUAACGUCGCAAGACCAAAGAGGGGGACCUUAAGGCCUCUUGCCAUCGGAUGUGCCCAGAUGGGAUUAGCUAGUAGGUGGGGUAACGGCUCACCUAGGCGACGAUCCCUAGCUGGUCUGAGAGGAUGACCAGCCACACUGGAACUGAGACACGGUCCAGACUCCUACGGGAAGCAGCAGUGGGGAAUAUUGCACAAUGGGCGCAAGCCUGAUGCAGCCAUGCCGCGUGUAUGAAGAAGGCCUUCGGGUUGUAAAGUACUUUCAGCGGGGAGGAAGGGAGUAAAGUUAAUACCUUUGCUCAUUGACGUUACCCGCAGAAGAAGCACCGGCUAACUCCGUG
Molecule: ribosomal RNA, 490 nt
Filed under: uncultured bacterium
Lineage: Bacteria
Description: partial 16S ribosomal RNA
Rfam family: Bacterial small subunit ribosomal RNA
Source: RNAcentral